CCCGAACACGACUCUCCGACACAUUGUUACAAUUCGACUUUUCGGCAUGUUGUUACAAUUCGACUUUCCGGCAUGUUGUUACAAUUCGACCUUCCGGCACAUUGUUUCCGACAUGUUGCUAUUCGGCUGUUUGGAAUGAUUCGAUUUUCAAGCUCGUCGCAGGUUGCAUAUGCGUAUGGGUCUCGGCAACUUCAUCAAGCCAAGGAAAUAGAGCCAUCAGAGGGGAUUCGAGAAGGGGCUUUAGAAGCUUGUCAUACACGAUACCGCGAAGCUU
RNAcentral lists this long non-coding RNA (274 nucleotides) under Oryza brachyantha (malo sina). RNAcentral's name for it is "long non-coding RNA (OBRA_LNC001035)". Lineage: Eukaryota; Viridiplantae; Streptophyta; Magnoliopsida; Poales; Poaceae. The record is from RNAcentral.